Molecule: small RNA, 70 nt
Organism: Tenacibaculum sp.
Lineage: Bacteria; Pseudomonadati; Bacteroidota; Flavobacteriia; Flavobacteriales; Flavobacteriaceae
Rfam family: Flavo-1 RNA
Source: Rfam
GUUUAGCCCUGAUUGCAGCGGCAUCCUUUUUGUUUUUCACAAAAAGAUAUAGCGAAAAGCAGGAAAUAGC